GCUGGGCGUGGUGGCGGGCGCCUGUAGUCCCAGCUACUUGGGAGGCUGAGGCAGAAGAAUCGCUUUAACCCAGGAGGCGGAGGUUGCAGUGAGCCGAGAUCACGCCACUGCACUCCAGCCUGGGUGACAGAGCAAGACUUUGUCUCAA
This 148-nucleotide non-coding RNA is filed under the name Gorilla gorilla gorilla (western lowland gorilla). The record is from Rfam by way of RNAcentral. Lineage: Eukaryota; Metazoa; Chordata; Mammalia; Primates; Hominidae.